CCGAGUUAUCCAACUCCCAACCCCUGUGAAUUAUACCUUUAAUUGUUGCUUCGGCGGGACUUCGCGCCCGCCGGGGACCCAAACCUUCUGAAUUUUUAAUAAGUAUCUUCUGAGUGGUUAAAAAAAAUGAAUCA
Molecule: unclassified non-coding RNA, 134 nt
Filed under: soil metagenome
Description: partial internal transcribed spacer 1
Source: RNAcentral